CUCUGUGGAAAAACAGACUUGUUUUAUGUUCUUGAGUGACUGAUGGAUGUCUUGCUAUAGUGACCUGACUGUAGAGUUUAGAACUCUGUACUAAAGAAGGGUUUUUUAAAUUUUUUUGUUGUUAAACUGUAUGUAAAUUUUUUUGCUCAGAGGAGAUUGGGGUUAUCCUUGUAUGGCUUAGGGAGGUGGAGUAAGGUACUCUGGAAAACUGUGUUAGUAAUUGUAGAAAGAUAAGAAACAGUCUUGUGCAUUACCAUUGCUUCCUAGAAUAGUUUGGUUUUGUUUUGUUUGUUUGAUUUUUUUUUUAAUAGUAGCAGUUCAUACAAUCAGGCUGUAUAUGGCAGGUGUAAUUAAGGGGUUUUUUUGGAGGGGGGGAUCAUGUGCAUGCUAUUGUGAAACAACAGUCUGUUAAGUGGAAUGGUGCCCUAAAGGAAACUUUUCUGAAUUGGGUGUUACAGGAAAGUAUUCCCUUUAUGUAGAUAAGGCCAUGAAAAGAUGGAAAGAAAAUUUUUUGAGAAGGGAAAAAAAAAAAAAAAGAAAAGCUUGCCUCUUGAUCCUGUGUUAUUGAAUACACUUAUGGUCUUGUGGGGAUCUGCAAAAGAUAAGCAAUUCUAUAGCCAGGUGUUGAAAAUUUAAAUAUUGUUUAAAAGUGCUGUAUAAAAAUGAAAGUAAUCAUUUAUGCUUUCAAUUGAAAGGUAACAUGUGAGAGUACUGCCCUUAUUUCUUUCCAUUUACUUAAACAAAAAACCCAACAAAAAACUCCCCCACGCUAGAGCAAGAUAGUCAAUUAUGUUAAUCCGACUUUCUCUGCAAAACAAAUGUGACCAAUCAGUUUGAAAAGAUAGUAGAAGGUUUUUGUUUGCUUGUGUUUAGCCUUUUUAUGGUGCUUAUCUAGUUAGUUUCAUUGUUUCCCCCCACCCCCCUUUUCCCCCCUUCUUUCACAGUAUGGGGGGAGCUAUUAACCCUUUGAAAUGUGCUGUUUUCUGUUUUUUCAAACUUUAUAAAAUACAGUGCUUCUGUAACAGUGGCCUUUUGCUAUUGAAAUAAUGGGAAAACAGUCACGGAAGGAAGGUAGAGCUAGAGUGUAUCUUCACAGGGAGGAGAACCAUGCAGGCCUGUGUGAGACCUUAGGCUGGUAUCUAUCCAUUGGGCCAGGGAGGCUGGGUCACAGCUAGUCCUGAAUGACAGGUUCUUUAACAGCGGGAUUGCCAGAGGCUCCCUGUCUGAGAAAGGGACUUUAAAGAGAGCUUUUUCUUACUGAUCCAGCACUCCUACUACUUGUUUGUUUUAAACUAACAAGACAACCACCCAAACUUAAACCCCUGUAUGUUACAGGGUGGGGAGAAACUUCAUCAGACGGAUGGCUAGUUAAUGGCAUGAGAGGUUCCUUUCAAAAUUUUGUGUUGAGCAUUUAAAAUAUGGGGCAAAUGAUGUGGCAAAACAGAUAUGCACUCCUUUUACAUUGUGAAAGUAAAACCUUGUAGGUCCUUCCAGGUAAUUUUCAUAAGCAUCUGUCAAAUCUGACUUUGUGGAACUUCAGGAAAUAACUGUCUGCAUUACAGUUUUUCCAAAUUUCCAGUUUCCUGGUUUUUGGUGGUAACUGUCAAUUCUGGAAACGUGAGCUGGUAGUUGAUUUCUGGUAAUUAAAGAUGUAUGGAGAAAUCUACUUGAAAAAUUAAGAACUGGAUGGUCUUGUAAUGCCUCUUCUCUACAAGCAGAUUACCUAAGCCAAGAAAACAUCCAGUGUUCACAGUGACCAUCACUGAAAAUCUGUAGGUGUUUCACAGAAUGCUGUAAUUGUUUGAGCCAUCUGUCUGUUAACUGCCUGCAUAUACGAAUCUGCCUUGAAGAGUAUUUUUAAAGAGUUGUAGCAUUUUUUGUGGGUAUGCAAUGAUAAAACGUUCACUAUUAAUUAGCCUGUUACCUUUCAGCUCCAAUGGCGAUUCCUCCAUCAUAUGUAGACCUUGGCAAAUCUGCCAGAGAUAUCUUCAAUAAAGGAUAUGGUUUUGGGUUAGUGAAACUGGAUGUGAAAACAAAAUCUGCAAGCGGAGUGGAAUUCACAACAUCAGGUUCAUCGAACACAGACACUGGAAAAGUGAAUGGGAGCUUGGAGACCAAAUACAAGUGGGCUGAGUAUGGGCUGACUUUCACAGAAAAAUGGAACACAGAUAACACUCUGGGAACAGAAAUUGCAAUUGAAGAUCAGAUUGCCAAAGGCUUGAAGUUGACAUUUGAUACAACUUUCUCACCAAAUACAGGAAAGAAAAGUGGUAAAAUUAAGUCAGCUUAUAAACGUGAAUGCCUAAACCUAGGUUGUGAUGUUGACUUUGAUUUUGCUGGACCUGCAAUCCAUGGUUCAGCUGUCUUUGGUUAUGAAGGCUGGCUUGCUGGUUACCAGAUGACUUUUGAUAGUGCCAAAUCAAAAUUGACAAGAAAUAACUUCUCUGUGGGUUACAAGACUGGAGACUUCCAACUGCACACUAACGUCAAUGAUGGUUCAGAAUUUGGUGGGUCAAUUUACCAGAAAGUGAGUGACAAUCUUGAAACUGCUGUAAACCUGGCUUGGACAGCAGGUAGCAACAGCACUCGCUUUGGCAUUGCGGCUAAAUACAAGUUGGAUUCCACUGCUUCUAUCUCUGCAAAAGUGAACAAUUCUAGUCUAGUUGGAGUGGGCUACACCCAGACCCUGAGGCCAGGUGUGAAGCUUACACUGUCUGCCCUGAUAGAUGGAAAGAGCAUCAAUGCUGGUGGCCAUAAACUUGGUCUUGGCCUGGAAUUGGAGGCUUAAAAAGGUGAAGAAACUGCUGCAGAGAAGGGAUAUCAGAAGAAUUUGGCCUUAAAAUGUAUUUCCAAUGUGACCAGCAGGCUUUUUUUCCAAGAAGGAUGACCUAGAACAAGAGCUGUAUUUGAAGUAUUUAGACAGUUACUUGUUAGCUGGUUUCUAGUUAAAUUGGUUACCCAUCUAGUAAAAUUCUGCAUUAGUGCAGUCACUUAAACAUUAUUUAAAUGUAUUUAACUGUUUAAUGCGCUACCCACAAAUAAUGAAAUAGACAUUUAUGAAAACUGUACAAUUGUGUGCAUGUUUGUUUUUAUGUUCCUUUUAACAUUCGAUAUUGCCAUUGAAUGAAAAAUGGAUCAGUGGAUGUUUUGAAAUGAGGUCAACAAUUUUGUUAAAUCACCUGAAGUAGAAAUACAUUUGGUAUCCCAAGACAAAUUAUGAAUAAAACAAGUACACACACAUACUUGUGCCUCAGAUAUUUUAAGAGUUAAGAUAUGAGGGUAGUGCUCAGUUAAGUUUUAACUUAAAAUAAUCCAAGGAGUAGUGCUCUAUACCCUUGUGCAAUUAAGGAUCCCCACCCAUGACAACACUGAAUAUAGAUGGUUUUCACUGAACAGUUGGACUCCUCAAGCCAGUUGAAUGUGCUUUUCUGUCAGGUAAGACUUGUCGUGACACAACGGUUUAAUUCCCCGUGUUCCACGGGCAAGAUUUACUGCAUUACCAGUUGGCCUCCUGAUGCAAAGAGUGCAGAAUGAUGUACUUGGUACACUGAGACAUUUAAGAACUGCUCCUCGAUGCUUUUGCCCAAGGGGUGACAAACCUCACCACAAACACACCUUUUGCUUAUAUUUGUAUGAAGUGAGAUGUGUAUCUGCAACUGAAUGUAACAGUGUAAUGGUUUAACAGCCUGCUUAUCCCAACUGCUGUGAGAGGUUUCUGCUUAAAAUGACUGAAAUAAAGGCUAAAUUUUAAAUGGAGAUGGAGGAAAAUGCAUGCGACUUUGCUUUCCCUUUGGCAAAUAAAUCUUGGCGCAUACCCUUUUAAGUCCAGAAACAAGCAUAACAACAGAAAAUCUAUUAUAUUUUUUCCAGGAUAGCAUUAAGAGAGAAUAGAAAUACGAGGGCUAUUUGGUCUGUGAACGCCCCUUAAGGUCAUAUGUAACUAGCUAUGAAUACUUUUAAUGUGGAAUAUAUUAAAUACAUGCAGUUACAGUGCUUAUGUUUACUGGGCUCAGGGGAGCACCUGGAGCCCACCUCUUGCAGUCUCUCAUAGCUGAGAAGGGUAUCUUGAUACUUAGUCUUGCAGGCUGCAGGUCACAGCAGCUUCCUUUACAGGGCAGGUGGCUAGCUUGCAAUCAGGAAGCUUUAUCUCUGGUUUGCAAGCUGUGUUCGGUUCAUGCUGGAUUAGACUUAACCCCCAUAAAAUUUGUCAUGGUUUGCUCAAGGUCUUAUCCCAUCCUGCAUUGUUGCCCUCAUACUCAAGUUCUUGAGUACUGUGUUGUAAACUGUGUUUUAGGCUUUAGCUGUGGAGUAGCUGAGCCACCUGUUUUGCAGAAGAUAGAUAGAGCGGAGCUUAAGCUUCUAGCUCAGGCUCUUGAGCAGGCUUGCUAGUGUAUUUUACUAUUUUAUUUUUUUUUUUUACAUGACAAAGAAGGGUUUGGCAGCAUUUGUGCUUUGGAGUACCUUCACUGCUGUUGUCACUAAAUGCCCUUUUCUGAGGAGCACUUCCAUGGCUUGGUGAUGGAAGCAGCAUGUAAGCUGUUUUUCCUGGUCACAAAAUGGGCAAGUGAGAUAAAAGCAGAUAUUGCGUUUUCUCUUCAACUCUUCAUACAAGUUGGUAAGGGAAAACUUGAACCUACCGAUUUUACUCUGUUUUCAUGUGCUUCACUUUACUAGUCCACGGCCUUUAAACCUUAAUUAGUUUCAUUCGUUACAAUGCUGAUAGGCAACUGGAGAAAUAAGAGCUCUGCAGUAGUUAAGACAACUGUCAAAUGUGAGUUUUCCUAAAAUACUCAUAAAUCACUCUUUCAAGCAUGAAAAGGAAGUUCAGUGUCUAUCUCUUGACAUCUCUCAAGUCAGGCAUACAAAAAUGGCUUUCAGACUUUCAAGUGUGUUACAGAAGCUGGUGGUGUAGUUGGAGUUUUGUGGUAAGGAAUGUCAGUAGUUUAAAUAGCUCCAUUUUGUUAGAACAUGUAAAAAGCCUUAAUGAUAACUUUCAGUGCUAGCCAGCCUUUCCUCAGGUGUCAUUCUGAACAAAAUAAAAACGCUCGAGAUCACUGAGAUCACCAAUGACCUGAGUGUGGCUGGGCAUCUUCUUUGUGUGGGCUGCAGCAUUGCAUUUUUUUUUUCAUUCCUGCCUGGUACAGCUGGAGUAGGGGUUGUUUGUGUGCAUAUUGCAAGGAGACUUCAUCACACUUCAGUAAAUAAAAAUCCUUUCACAUGAGAUGGACACCUUGGAUUUUGCAAGUUACUGUCUGAGUGACUUCAACAUCUAUGUUCUUGCUGUGCUCUAGAAAUUCUCCAGGUUGUUUCAAUUGACCUUGCACUCCUUACGUGGUUCAGCUUGGUGUGGUAUAUUCUUAAAUCUGCUUCUUGCACUCUGCAGUCAUUCAAAACCAGGAAAUUUUUUGGAACUAUUUCAGAAUGGGCAUGGAAACAUUUCACCCCCAAACACUGGGACACAGGUUUUUACCUUUCCCUUGUCUGUUGCUGGGGUAGAGCCAGGUAGCAAUAGAGUGUGCUAUCUUACUGCCCUCUCAAGGCCCUGUUCUGCCCUUCGGCUUUAUUACUGCAAUAAUUUGUCUGCCGGGCACAAAGAUGCAUUUAAAUCUACGGUGACUGCACUUCUGUAGGAAGUAGAACCGAGCAAACAGAAGACAGCCCACGCAUGGAUGAUUCAGCCCUGCUUGUCUCAAAGGUCCUUGCUUCCUUACCAUACCAGUCAGCAAGGACAGAAGCAAUUCUAGGCAAGGUAGGCCAGUAAUGGUGGCAAAUUCUGGGUCGCGCCUGUGGCAGCAGUGUCUUAAGGGCAGGUACAAAUGCUUCCUGUGAACCGGCAGAAAGGAACACCCAAAGACAAAGCUGGCUGGGUUGUUCAUG
This is an RNA transcript of Egretta garzetta (little egret), 5877 nucleotides long. It is a transcript of the gene named voltage dependent anion channel 2, with no coding region annotated. The transcript has 9 exons. Lineage: Eukaryota; Metazoa; Chordata; Aves; Pelecaniformes; Ardeidae. The record is from RefSeq and is a predicted model, not a curated record.